Molecule: ribosomal RNA, 253 nt
Filed under: uncultured bacterium
Lineage: Bacteria
Description: partial 16S ribosomal RNA
Rfam family: Bacterial small subunit ribosomal RNA
Source: RNAcentral
UACAGAGGUCUCAAGCGUUGUUCGGAUUCAUUGGGCGUAAAGGGUGCGUAGGCGGCGCGGUAAGUCGGGUGUGAAAUCUCGGAGCUUAACUCCGAAACUGCAUUCGAUACUGCCGUGCUUGAGGACUGGAGAGGAGACUGGAAUUUACGGUGUAGCGGUGAAAUGCGUAGAUAUCGAGAGGAAUACCUGCGGCGAAGGCGGGUUGCUGGGCUGACACUGACGCUGAUGCGCGAAAGCCAGGGGAGCGAACGGG